UGUACUCUGCAAAGUGACUGCUGAGUUUUGGGAACACACUGACAAGACUACAACAAAGUUUGAUGGAGCCAGAAACACAAUUCAGCAAAAUUAUUCAAACUACUUUAGAGAGGUUCAAAGUGAAAGAGGCACUGAAGGACUGCUUCAAUCAAUUAACACAGAACUUAUUUGGAUUAAAGCUCUGGGGUUCCACUAUUCCAGCUGCAAUACAGCCAAUCAUAGCCACUAGACUCUGUGUGUGAAAUGUAGAUGCAAACAAUUAUGAGUAUGAAUAUAUAUUUAACAACUAAAACAGAGACAGAGUUUAAAAACAAUUUAACUGUGUAGAAGCACAAAAAUUAAAGAAAAAUGACUAAAUCUGUAAGCCGACAAAAUUAGGCUGACAACAUGAUUUGCUUUAGACACGCUCCUGGUGGAAUAUGCAGUUUCGGGAAAGAAAGGCUAAACAGAUGGCUUAAAUUUCUUGUGUGAAGUAAUGUGCAUCAGAAUGGCCAGAAAAACAUGUUGCAAACUGCAAAAUCCUACCAGAUGUAGUUGGCCAUCCAGGCAUUUUUGGCAUACUUCAUUUGAGAUACUGUGUAUUGGGGGGUGCUGAAUCUUUUUCUAGCUUACUAUAUUGUAGGUAGUAAAAAUAUUGGAACAUACCCCAAGUUUUAUUUAAAUUUGAUGCUGACUCAAGCGAAAGAUUCUGAUAGCAAGUGUUUUAAUAGGUGUUAAUUUAUCUAAAACUAUGAAUCACAUAAGCCAGGGUCAAUGAAAGCCUCCUUCACUGAGAGCUUGGAAAAAUCAGAAUUAGUGGAACAACAAGCUCAGUGAUAAUGCCGUGAACUGACUGUGAGCUAAGCUGUGUGGUUUAACAAUGACGAAAAGAAGAGAGAUCAAAGUUUCACCAAGCAGAUGGGUAGACUUGCUUUCUCUUCCAAAGAAGUUUGGUUAACAUGAAUGAUUGUUUACCACCUUGCUCACAGCUGCUGUACGGUGAAGCUGAGUCAUACAGACUGAAGCUUGUAAGUUUCCGUUCUAAUGUUUAAAUGCAGCACUUGUUUGAUAAUCUCUGCAGUGUGAACGUGAAAUAGUUACCGCAAAAAAUAUGUGUUCCUAUAAAAGCCACAGGAUUUCACUUUGGUUACAUGAACAUGCCUGACUAUCAGGUUUAUUUUCAAGAACAUCAUUGUAAAAUACAUCUCUUCUGCAGUGAUUUUGUGACGCAACUUGUACUCAGUCUGCUGCUGUAGCUGGUUUCUGAAAGUGUGUGUAGAGGUGUAUAAUGGAACUUUGCUUAAAAAUGAUUUGAAAAAUAAUGUGGUGGUAAUUCUGUGGAUGAAGUCUGGUAGAAAAGUUAAAAAUUUAUGUCGUCUUUUCUUAUUUCAAGCAUCCCUGUGGCUGUGUAGUGUGUUUCAUUGCAAGUACUCAGCUACCACAUACUAACCACACGUAGCCUGUCACAAACAGACAUCUCUUAACCAGUGUUGCCACAUUAGCUUUGAAAACGGCGCCCAAUCAGAGACUAGAACCCAUUGAGUCCACAUGAAAACAGUGCAAUUUUACUUCUACUUUUCAUCUGGUGGAUGUUUGUUUUUGGUCCAGUUUAUCUUAUAUAUACAGAAUUUAAAUAUCAUUCAAUAAUUUUAAUAUUAAGUGUUCAUUUAUAUGUACAGAAUUAAACUUGACUGAGAAACACAAAAUACAAUGCUGCUGUAAAAACAUCCCACUGCUUGCAACCCUCCAAAGGCUAAGUGGGGCAUUCCAUAAAAAAAAUCUAUCACUGCCUCCCGCAUCACCCCCUCAGAAUUACAUGAAAUUUUCAGCACAAUAAUUUUAGUAUAUCAACUAUAUAUGUCAAAAUGUUGCACUUUUUAAUUACAAUUACUUUUUCCAGGAUCGUUGAGCCUUCAUUCUACAAUCUACAAUUUCAUUUAGCAGAUGCUUUUAUCCAAAGCGACGUACAUCUGAGAGUAGAUACAGCACAAGAAGGGAUCUAACUGGGGGAAAACAACCUGGAUACGUGCCAUAAACAUCACUUCACAAGUACAGGAGAUGGAUACAUGAGAUUUUCAGGGCUGAAAAACACAUUUGAGUUCUGUUAAAAACUGCCACCAAAUCAAUCUGACAUCCCCUCCACUCACUAUCUAAAGCCAAAAUCUCAUUUUUGCUUGGCACAGUUUUUCUUUUUAACCAACUCUGAGCAUCAACAUCAUGGGAUAUAUCAUAGUUUCAGUAGAAAAACUACAAGAUUGUAUUGUUUAUAACACAGAGUGACAGUAAAAAGUACUGGCACCCUUGAUGUGUUUUCUGUUUUCUGAUAAUUCACUGCAGGAAAUUUUAAAAGGUGAAUUUUGUGUGAAGUCUCAAGGGUCAUCACCAUUUGGAACAUGGUGGUUGGUGGAAUAAAGUUAGAGCCUAAGAAAGAUCUUUUUCCUACAUUUUGACUUAUCUUCUAGUCAAAAUUCCUUCCCUGUCUCAACACUUUUCUAAUACAGUCAUAUUUUACCACCAAACUUUGGCCCACCACUAUGUAAUUUAAGAGCAUGUAAGUGUGAAAGUAUUAAUUGUAUGAAGGUAAGACUCCAUUAAAUAUACUAAUAAUAUUGGGCAUUAAAAAUCAGCCAAUUCUGAGGGACUCGGGGAGGAAUUUUUUCAGAUUUGGUUUAUUUUAAAUGGAAUGUCCCAUGUGGGUAUAGUAAAAGACACGGGAUAGUAUUUUCAAUGGCCAUUGUAUCUUUAGUCUCUUCCUUACAGUUUAAAAUCUCUGAUGACUAGCUGAACCCUUUGUAGAUGGAAAAUUCACCUACUAAUCCAAGUCACAACCUCUCUUCCAAAUCAAUAAAAGGUAUCCUAGGGGGGUAGAAAACUGGCCUAUCUAGCAAUACUGCUAUUACCUCAGAGAACAUGUAGGGUGAUGACGUUAUCAGGCCAAAAGCAUGAGAUAAUGUUGGAGCUUCCACCAGCUGCAGUGAAUUCGGCAAUGUUUCCAUUAGAGUAAAUACUUUGGCAUGCAAUACAUGUGGCAACAGAGAGCCUCUAAUAAAAGGUUACUUUGAUCAAAUGAGUCACUCAUCAAAAAAUGGAGUGUUGUCUAACUCUAGAUGUCUAUUUUGUAACUUACAAAAGAUGAUGUAAAGUGCGUAUUUGGAUUGUUUACUCACCAGUGGUAGUGCAGUAAGUGUGAGUCAUACCUGUGUGUAAUGUUGUAAUGGGAUCCACUGUGCGACUUCACAGCCCAACAUGCUAAUAAUAGAAGGUAGAGUUUACACUGGCUUAGGUCAUCUGACAGGGACAUUCCUGGUUUCCAGGUUAUGCUGAAUGUUUCUGGGACCCCCUAAUCUUUCUAGCUCCACUAUCAGCCCAAAAUACUCCCUCAUACUUUAGAAAAUGUAAUUGUAUGUAUUAGAUGAGUGCCCUCAGGAAUCAAUGGCUGUGAUAUUAAUAAGGCUGUCAUGACAGCAAAGUUUUAGUGCUAUUUUUAUUUUUGCUUGUAAAAAAGAUUUUACAAACAUGGAUUACAACUGAGUGUACUCCAUCUACUUCUGUAAAUGAUGAGAUGCAGCUGAAAGUCCCAAAAACAAAGUUUGGGUUAAGGUUAUUUAGUCAAACUACUGAAUACCUUCUUCACACAACAUUUGUAGCUUGUACAUUGUAGAACCUAGUCUGCUCUGAUUGGACAAAAUACCACAUUUUGUGUGUGUGUGUGUGCGUGCGUGCAUGCGGAGAUGUAAUUUGUUGCUUGCAUGUUUUUAAUUUAGUUUGUUUUAAAAUGUUUAUUAUUUUAAAAUGCCCGGACUUCUUACUGACAUCACACUUUUGUCAACUUAUGGCCACUGGUUUGAUGUGCAAUAAACAUGCAUGUGUGUUACAAUAA
Molecule: long non-coding RNA, 3859 nt
Organism: Amphiprion ocellaris (clown anemonefish)
Lineage: Eukaryota; Metazoa; Chordata; Actinopteri; Pomacentridae
Source: Ensembl